This 433-nucleotide ribosomal RNA is filed under the name uncultured bacterium. RNAcentral's name for it is "partial 16S ribosomal RNA". It matches the Rfam family "Bacterial small subunit ribosomal RNA", at positions 29 to 507 of the family's 1533-position model. The record is from RNAcentral.
AACGAACGCUGGCGGCAGGCUUAACACAUGCAAGUCGAGCGCAUCCUUCGGGGUGAGCGGCGGACGGGUGAGUAACGCGUGGGAACGUGCCCUCUUCUACGGAAUAGCCUCGGGAAACUGAGAGUAAUGCCGUAUACGCCCGCAAGGGGAAAGAUUUAUCGGAGGAGGAUCGGCCCGCGUUGGAUUAGGUAGUUGGUGGGGUAACGGCCUACCAAGCCGACGAUCCAUAGCUGGUUUGAGAGGAUGAUCAGCCACACUGGGACUGAGACACGGCCCAGACUCCUACGGGAGGGAGGAGUGGGGAAUCUUGGAAAAUGGGGGCAACCCUGAUCCAGCCAUGCCGCGUGAUCGAUGAAGGCCUUAGGGUUGUAAAGAUCUUUCAGCUGGGAAGAUAAUGACGGUACCAGCAGAAGAAGCCCCGGCUAACUCCGUG